GCUUUCGUGGUGUAGUGGUCAAUACGCUCGAUGGGUAUUCGAGAGAUCCGUGGUUCGAAUCCUAGCGAAGGCA
RNAcentral lists this transfer RNA (73 nucleotides) under Stegodyphus mimosarum. It matches the Rfam family "tRNA". Rfam says of the family: Transfer RNA (tRNA) molecules are approximately 80 nucleotides in length. Their secondary structure includes four short double-helical elements and three loops (D, anti-codon, and T loops). Further hydrogen bonds mediate the characteristic L-shaped molecular structure. tRNAs have two regions of fundamental functional importance: the anti-codon, which is responsible for specific mRNA codon recognition, and the 3' end, to which the tRNAs corresponding amino acid is attached (by aminoacyl-tRNA synthetases). tRNAs cope with the degeneracy of the genetic code in two manners: having more than one tRNA (with a specific anti-codon) for a particular amino acid; and 'wobble' base-pairing, i.e. permitting non-standard base-pairing at the 3rd anti-codon position. Lineage: Eukaryota; Metazoa; Arthropoda; Arachnida; Araneae; Eresidae. The record is from Rfam by way of RNAcentral.